AUUGAACGCUGGCGGCAUGCCUUACACAUGCAAGUCGAACGGCAGCACGGGAGCAAUCCUGGUGGCGAGUGGCGAACGGGUGAGUAAAGUAUCGGAACGUGCCCAGUCGUGGGGGAUAACGUAGCGAAAGUUACGCUAAUACCGCAUACGAUCUAUGGAUGAAAGCGGGGGAUCGCAAGACCUCGCGCGAUUGGAGCGGCCGAUAUCAGAUUAGGUAGUUGGUGGGGUAAAGGCCCACCAAGCCGACGAUCUGUAGCUGGUCUGAGAGGACGACCAGCCACACUGGGACUGAGACACGGCCCAGACUCCUACGGGAGGCAGCAGUGGGGAAUUUUGGACAAUGGGCGAAAGCCUGAUCCAGCCAUGCCGCGUGCAGGAUGAAGGCCUUCGGGUUGUAAACUGCUUUUGUACGGAACGAAAAGGACUGCCCUAAUACGGUGGUCCCAUGACGGUACCGUAAGAAUAAGCACCGGCUAACUACGUGCCAGCCGCCGCCGUAA
RNAcentral lists this ribosomal RNA (500 nucleotides) under uncultured bacterium. RNAcentral's name for it is "partial 16S ribosomal RNA". It matches the Rfam family "Bacterial small subunit ribosomal RNA", at positions 30 to 523 of the family's 1533-position model. The record is from RNAcentral.